UGGGGAAUAUUGCACAAUGGAGGGAACUCUGAUGCAGCGACGCCGCGUGAACGAAGAAGGCUUUCGAGUCGUAAAGUUCUUUUAUAUGGGAAGAUAAUGAUGGUACCAUAAGAAAAAGCCCCGGCUAACUACGUGCCAGCGGCCGCGGUAAUACGUAGGGGGCUAGCGUUGUCCGGAAUCACUGGGCGUAAAGGGUUCGCAGGCGGAAAUGCAAGUCAGGUGUAAAAGGCAGUAGCUUAACUACUGUAAGCAUUUGAAACUGCAUAUCUUGAGAAGAGUAGAGGUAAGUGGAAUUUUUAGUGUAGCGGUGAAAUGCGUAGAUAUUAAAAAGAAUACCGGUGGCGAAGGCGACUUACUGGGCUCAUUCUGACGCUGAGGAACGAAAGCGUGGGUAGCAAACAGG
RNAcentral lists this ribosomal RNA (403 nucleotides) under Fusobacteriota bacterium. RNAcentral describes it as "Fusobacteria bacterium partial 16S ribosomal RNA". It matches the Rfam family "Bacterial small subunit ribosomal RNA", at positions 355 to 776 of the family's 1533-position model. The record is from RNAcentral. Lineage: Bacteria; Fusobacteriati; Fusobacteriota.